This 1092-nucleotide long non-coding RNA is filed under the name Androctonus crassicauda. Lineage: Eukaryota; Metazoa; Arthropoda; Arachnida; Scorpiones; Buthidae. The record is from RNAcentral.
CAGUCUUCCUAGAAGAAAUGUUUAAAUGAAUAAUUGGAUGGAAACACAAAGGAAUAAACAUUAAUGGAGAGUAUCUUAACCGAUAUUUGCAGAUGACACAGUACUUUUUACCCAAACACUGAAUGAUCUACAGAAAAUGCUAAGUGGCCUCAAGCUAGAAAACAAGGAAAUAGGACUGCAAAUGGAUUAUGAGAAGACAAAGGUAACAUUCAACACAAAAAUAAACCUAUAUCCAAUAAUGAUAAAAGGUUAGACAAUUAAAAAGAUGGAAGAAUAUAAGUACUUAAGAAAAAUAAUCACAGUAAAAAGUAAAAAAUAAUAAGGAGAACAAAUGAAAGAAAUUCAAUAUAGGAUGUCCUAUAUUGAAUUUCCUUCAUUCUAUAGCAACUUCCUAAGGGAUAAUAUGAUACCAAUAUACUCAAAAGAAAAACUUUUCAGUAUGUUCAUACUACCAGUAAUAAUGUCUGUGAAACAUGGGACCCUUUACAAAGAAAAUGAAACAGAAACUAGCAACAACCCAAGAAGCAUGGAAAGAUUUGUGUUAGGAUUCAUUAGAAGCGAUUAUAAGACCGACACUUGAAUAAGGGAACAACCAAAGUAAGACACAAUUGUAGGAGUUAGAAGCAAAAUGGCAUUGGGCAAAUCACACAGCAAGAUAAAGUAGUAUGUCACAAUUCAACACUAAUCCAUUGUCAAACCAGCAUUGAAUGGAUAAACUGUUGAAUUGCAGGACAAUAUUUCCCAUAUAAGACUAUGGAAAAUAGAUUAAUUCAUUGUCAGACUCCCAUCCUACUUUCCCUAAAAGGGAGGGGAGAGAGUUAAACUAUAUUAUUUUGUUUCCUAUAUAUAUUUUACUUUUGUAUAACACAUUAAAUUACAAAGUAUUUUAUUUUAUACACAAUACAUAUAAUUUAUUAGCCCUUGGAUGUUGGAAUUAAAUCUUCUUUAUUCUGUUCUAACUUUUAAUCUAUAAAAAAAAAAUCAGCCUUGACUUCUUUAAAUUCCUCAGUUUGGUCUGAGGUACAUCCUAGAGUUUUCUUUAGCAAUUCUUUGAAAAUUAAUCUAGCCUUCUCACAGAUCAUUGCCUGAGUU